AUGUGUUUUGAGAGCCUCACCUGGUCUUUCCCCGCCUCACCUCCCUCUGCCCCCACCACCCCCACCUGCACUACAGGUGAAGGCCACCAUGUACCUGAGCUACUUCCAGGCUGUGGGUGUUCCCCUCUGUGUCUACGCUCUCUUCCUCUUCCUCUGCCAGCAAGUGGCCUCCUUUUGUCACGGUUACUGGCUGAGCCUGUGGGCGGACGAUCCCACCUGUGGACGGGCGGCAGACGCAGGCAGCUUUGCGGGGCUCGAUCUUCGGGAUCCUGGGCUGCCUUCAAGGUACCCCUCACCCUCCAUCCUCCCAGCCUCCCUCCGAGUGCUCAGGGCUCCCUGGCCUGCCCGUCCCUGGCUUACCCUGCCCUUCAUGACCAUCUGUGCCAACCUCCUGGGCUCAAAUGCAUCCUUCAGAUAAAGCUUGGGGGUGGGGGGGGACAUGGCCCAUCCCUCCCCUCCUGGGCCCCCAGAGUCUCUGCCAGACUCAUCAGCAAAUGCAGAAUCCUGGCCCCCAGAUGUUGGGGACAGCUGAGGACUGGGGUGAGGACAGGCCAACUGCAGUGUUUAGAUUGGCCAGGGGUCCAAUCUGCCCGGCCCCAGAGACAGGGAGCAAGCUGGCGGCAUCCCAAGUCCGUAGAUCAGACGGGGAGGAAGUGGGCAUGUGAGUUCCCUAGGACUGACACAAAUAGCCACACACCUGGGAGCUCAGAACAACAGAAACUUAACUCCCACAGCCCUGAAGCCAGAAGCCCCCAAACCAAGCUCUCAGCAGGACUGGUUCUUCUCAGAGGCUCUGGGGGAGCAACGCUCCCAUGCCUCUCUCCUAGCUUCUGCUGGGGGCCAGCAAUCCUUGGCUUGUUGUGUCUUUGCCUGUCUUCACACCACCUCCUCUGUGUCUCUGGAUGUCUUCUCGUAAGGACACUAGUCAUUGGAUUUAGAAGCCACCCUAUAUCCAAGGUGGUAUCAUCUCAAGCUCUUUCACUGAAAACCUCUCCAAAGAUCCCAUUUCCAAAUAAGUUCACAUCCUGA
RNAcentral lists this long non-coding RNA (1029 nucleotides) under Canis lupus familiaris (dog). RNAcentral describes it as "lncRNA (ENSCAFG00030017710.1)". Lineage: Eukaryota; Metazoa; Chordata; Mammalia; Carnivora; Canidae. The record is from RNAcentral.